AAAAUCUCCGACCUGAUUACUGUGUGUGGAAGGCAACUGCAUAUUGUCUUGAAGUUAUAGAAAUGAUGUCUGUAUCGUUGUUGUUAGUUACCUUCGUUUUGAGGCAACGAUCUUGACUAAGAUUUACACUUGCUGCUAAUGGAGAUCGUGUUAUGAAUAUUCACGUGAAGUAGGGAAGCUCAGUCCGUCUUUUAUAUGGGACACCGCGGUGGGACAUAACCAUUUUAACAUGUUCGGACCUA
RNAcentral lists this unclassified non-coding RNA (242 nucleotides) under Hevea brasiliensis (rubber tree). Lineage: Eukaryota; Viridiplantae; Streptophyta; Magnoliopsida; Malpighiales; Euphorbiaceae. The record is from RNAcentral.